GGGGGGGGGGGGGGGGGGGGUGGGGGGGGGCGGGGCGGGCGGAGGGGCGCCGGUGGGGGUACGCGAGUGGCGAGCGGGGGAGUAAGACGUGGGUAAGCUGCCCUUGACUUCGGGGUAACUUCAGGCAACGGGGUCUAAUACCGGCUAGGAAUCCUUGCUGCAUGGUGGGGGUUGUAAAGCUUCGUCGGUUUUGGAUGGACUCGCUGCUUAUCAGCUUGUUGGUGGGGUAGUGGCUUACCAAGGCCUUGACGGGUAGCCGGCCUGCGAGGGCGACCGGCCACAUUGGGACUGAGAACAGGCCCAGACUCCCUCCGGGGGGAGCAGUGGGGAAUAUUGCACAAUGGGCGGAAGCCUGAUGCAGCAACGCCGCGGGCGGGAAGACGGGCUUCGGGUUGUAAACCGCUUUUAGCAGGGGAGAAGCUUGUGGUGACGGUACCUGCAGAAGAAGCACCGGCUAACUACGUG
This 465-nucleotide ribosomal RNA is filed under the name uncultured bacterium. Its description in RNAcentral is "partial 16S ribosomal RNA". The stretch from base 48 to 465 matches the Rfam family "Bacterial small subunit ribosomal RNA", at positions 37 to 507 of the family's 1533-position model. The record is from RNAcentral.